CCCAGCCUCCCGAUCCCCUUGCAGCCGUCAUCGCCGCCCGACCAUGGAGUCCCGACAGCCAGCUCCCCGGAGAUUUCCGCCUCCCUAAAAGUCCAGAUCUCCAGUCCAGCGCGUCACCACCUCCUGCCCCGCACGCCUCACCACGCGCCUCCGGUCUGCCCCCCGUCGCCGCAUGCCGUCAGUCCCCCGCCCCCCGUCGCAGCGUGCCGCCGGACCGCCUACCGUCGCUGGCUCUCCCCAGCCCCGAGGUCACAUCUCUUCCGGAGAUCCUCUCCAACCCAUAGUUCCUCGCAGAGGACACCCGCUCACACCAGCGUGUUAAGAGGAGGUACGUCGCCCCUCCUUGCGGACGCAUGGACGAGGGUCUCACGAUGCUGCCGGCAGCGGCAACUACAGCGGACCACGUGCCCCGACGUAGUCAGGGGAAAGCAGCGGCUCCGACUCCAAUGUUGGCCUUGGCGAAAGCACAAAGGGGUCACACUGGGUGGCAUUGUGGCAGGGGACAGGGUGCUGGGUUUCGCGGUAAGAUCGUCUAUUGGUGGAUUCUGUCUGGAUUGGAGCAGCGCAACAGGAAUAGGAUCGGGGGUGGUGGUGGUCCAGGACGUGGGGACGGGGAGAGGAGAGAUAGCUGUGAGCACGAGGUCCUUGCCGGCUGAAUCGAAUUGAAGCGCUCCGUCCAUCUCUAUUGGCCUUGGACGAACAAGGCAAUAAGGUACAGGACGAACAUGAAGAUAUAAGGAUGGGAGAUCAACAUAUUCUUGUUUUCUCUGGUGAAUGUGAAGUUCGGGUCUAUCUAAAAAGCAGCUAAUGUCUAGCAAUCUGCAGCGAGAACUCUAUCCACUCAUCUGGUCCAACUUACACCCAUGGAAUUCUCCAUCCACAUCUCUCUAUUCGUGAAAGCAACUGCUAAAUUUGUAUGGUAAGAGUGGUCCCGUACAUGCAUUCCAUUGGCUACUAAAUUAAUUAAUUUCCCGCGAAUUACAAUAGAAUUUAAUUAGGAGGGCAAGUAAUUAUUGGUGAUAACUACUUGGUUUAUUUUUGUAGGCGUGAUUGUAGUCUUAGAUCUUUGUAGGAUUUUGUAAUGUGGCUCAGAUGUGUUGUGUGAACUUAGAUAGCUUUGAUGUCUGAAUAUAUACAUUUUGCAGAUCUCCUGUCCUUACUGAAGUUAAAGUUCUGAAAUAAAUCUUCAGAAACAAUGAUGUUAUGUCUGAAACUGAUCUGAGUAGUGAGCCAAAUUAACAAUUAUUUUCUCUGUUCUUAAUCAGUACAUAACACCUGUUUUCUCAGUUGUUAACUUAAGAUUCGACCACUAUGAGCAGCAUUGCAGCAGUCGGCCAGAGGCUUCUAGUUUUUCAUUUGAAUGUGCUAGAGAGAUGUUUCUUUGCUUCAUUUUCAUUUGAAUGUGCUGAUGAAGAGUUGAAGCUGGAAGAAGCCCAACCGUCAAAUAAUCCUGAAGACCUAUGGAUUUGUCGCCGAAGUGUUGAGCUUAGUAAGAGAUGACAUAAACUGUGAGCUUUCAUCCGACAAAGUUGUGCUGGUGUCUGGUUGGAAAACAUGUUUCCUAUUACCACCGCCCCUAGCAGCUCACAUUUUUUUCGUAAUAUCUCUAGCAAUUUCUCUAAAUCCAUUUUUUAUAUGGCCUGAUGAUUCAUCAUCAAAUGCCACACAUGUUGUGUGCCUUCAGAAUGAGGUGUUUCAUGUGGAAGGCCAAAGGAUCCUUCAGUUUGCUUUCUCAAUGUUUGACUAAAUAUUUCAUUCAUGUUCAACAAACCUUAUGAGCAAUCGAUGGAGGCAGUGCGUGAGCUAACUUCCUUGUGGCCGGAUUGAUAGAGGCACUGCAUGAGGAACCGAGCCACCGAUGCAGGUCGGCGCCGGCUCCAUUGCACAUGGCAGCCACCACCACAUCUGCCGUCUCCGCAUCUGAACAACCGCUGCUUUGUGAGCCGCCUCAUCUAGCGAGGACACUGCUACUUCUGAGGACGCAGGAGCCGCCUCAUCCGGUGAAGACUCGCCGCUGUUCCACAGUGAGGCCGCCGCUGGCGCCGUUGUUUCCGCACUAAUCACAUGUUUUUGCCGGCCCCUAAAUUUUAUCCUCUGCUUAUCAUGGUUAUUACUGGUCCUUCCUCUGCAGAAUUGAGCGCAUGUUUUAUUAUUAUAGUAUAGCCUUUGAGUUCCUGCUUGCAUAUUACUUGAAACAUAGUUAAAUUGUGUAUAUUUAGCAGCUUUUCUUCUUACAGGCAAUUAUGCUUAACUCUUGUUACAUUUCUGUAUGGCCGCAAAAUUCAAGCAAUUGUAUAUAUACAUACUUUGGUCACAAUAUGACACUUCCCACUAAAUUUCUUCAGCUAUAAAUCUGAGAAUGUACUUCUCUUUAUGUAAUUAAGUUUGGAUUACUAGAUCUUAUGCAAAUGCCUUUUUUGUUCCUUAAUCAGUCCGCCUGUGGAGCUCCAAAGAUAGACGUUGGAUGUGUUCGAUGAUGGAGCUACCUGCGUUGGCUGUGUUGCCGGGUAGCCUGACUAUUUUUGUUAGUUCUAAAAUGCACUGAUGCUAACGCUGGGAGCGUACUGCUGGGAGCUGCUGUUUAUUUAUAGACAACUCCUGAAUUUAGUAUGUCAAUAUUUUUUGACCUAUUUUUGUUCUUGUUACUCAUUAAAAAAAUUAGUUUUAUUGCUCAAAAUCAUCUUACAAUGUUUCAUGUUACCACAGAUCAUGGCAAGGAAUAAAUUUUACAACCAAAAUCAUAUUCUACAAACUUAUUUGGUGCAUAUUAUCAUUUAGCAGUACGCUGGCUGUGCCUUCCUAUGAUAAAUGGAGAUCUUAGAUGUACUAUUGUUCCGUCAGGCAUUGAACCUCUCAAUGGCUGACCAUGAAAGAUAUGUGUAGCUCUAAUUUUCUCCCUAUGUUUCUGUUUUCAAGGAUAAUUCUUACUCCUUUUGGAAUUACUGAUACGUCUCCAACGUAUCUAUAAUUUUUGAUUGCUC
This is a long non-coding RNA of Triticum dicoccoides, 2981 nucleotides long. RefSeq lists it as uncharacterized. NCBI's taxonomy places the organism in Eukaryota, Viridiplantae, Streptophyta, Magnoliopsida, Poales, Poaceae. The record is from RefSeq and is a predicted model, not a curated record. The transcript is spliced from 2 exons.